This 415-nucleotide ribosomal RNA is filed under the name uncultured Mitsuokella sp. RNAcentral describes it as "bacterial SSU rRNA". It matches the Rfam family "Bacterial small subunit ribosomal RNA", at positions 355 to 762 of the family's 1533-position model. The record is from RNAcentral. Lineage: Bacteria; Bacillati; Bacillota; Negativicutes; Selenomonadales; Selenomonadaceae.
UGGGGAAUCUUCCGCAAUGGGCGCAAGCCUGACGGAGCAACGCCGCGUGAGUGAAGAAGGGUUUCGACUCGUAAAGCUCUGUUGUCGGGGACGAAUGUGGAGGUUGUGAAUAACAGCUUCCAAUGACGGUACCUGACGAGGAAGCCACGGCUAACUACGUGCCAGCAGCCGCGGUAAUACGUAGGUGGCGAGCGUUGUCCGGAAUUAUUGGGCGUAAAGGGAGCGCAGGCGGGAGAUCAAGUCUAUCUUAAAAGUGCGGGGCUCAACCCCGUGAGGGGAUGGAAACUGGUCUUCUUGAGUGCAGGAGAGGAAAGCGGAAUUCCUAGUGUAGCGGUGAAAUGCGUAGAUAUUAGGAGGAACACCAGUGGCGAAGGCGGCUUUCUGGACUGUAACUGACGCUGAGGCUCGAAAGCGU